RNAcentral lists this ribosomal RNA (253 nucleotides) under uncultured bacterium. RNAcentral describes it as "partial 16S ribosomal RNA". It matches the Rfam family "Bacterial small subunit ribosomal RNA", at positions 524 to 776 of the family's 1533-position model. The record is from RNAcentral.
UACGAAGGGGGCUAGCGUUGCUCGGAAUCACUGGGCGUAAAGGGUGCGUAGGCGGGUCUUUAAGUCAGAGGUGAAAUGCCAAGGCUCAACCUUGGAACUGCCUUUGAUACUGGAGAUCUUGAGUCCGGGAGAGGUGAGUGGAAUUGCGAGUGUAGAGGUGAAAUUCGUAGAUAUUCGCAAGAACACCAGUGGCGAAGGCGGCUCACUGGCCCGGAACUGACGCUGAGACGCGAAAGCGUGGGGAGCAAACAGG